UCCCAAGUGACUCUACCUCGUCUCUGUA
RNAcentral lists this non-coding RNA (28 nucleotides) under Mus musculus (house mouse). Lineage: Eukaryota; Metazoa; Chordata; Mammalia; Rodentia; Muridae. The record is from RNAcentral.